UCCACUCGUCUUUGGUUGGACUCUUUUAAUGUGGUUCUGUGUCAUCGUUGAAACUUCCUCUCCACUUGUGUCUUCUUUUUCUUCUAUCUACUCUGUCUUUGGAUACUUUUUGUGUGGUUAUGUGUCAUUGUUGUUAUUUCUCUCUUUGCUGAAAUCAUUGUGAUCCUGUUCCUCAGUUCAUUGCGUGCUCUCUACUCAUGGCUUCUUCUUCAUCUCUGUCUUGCAACUCCAAGUAUGACGUCUUCCUUAGCUUCCGUGGAGAAGACGUGCGCAAAGGCUUUCUUAGUCACGUUCGGAAAGAGCUCCAAAGAAAGGGGAUCAUAGCUUUCGUUGAUGACAAGAUCGAGCGAGGCGAAUCUGUUGGUCCCCUGCUUGUUGGAGCCAUCAGACAAUCAAGGGUUGCCGUUGUAUUGCUCUCCCGUAACUACGCUUCUUCAAGCUGGUGUUUGGAUGAGUUGGUGGAGAUCAUGAAGUGUAGGAAAGAGGAUCAACAAAAAGUGAUGACCAUUUUCUAUGAAGUGGAUCCAUCUCAUGUUAGGAAGCAGACCGGAGAUUUCGGGAAAGCCUUUGAAGAAACCUGCGUGGGAAAAACAGAAGAGGUGAAGCAGGAAUGGAGGCAAGCUUUGAAUGAUGUAGCUGGUAUAGCUGGUUAUCACUCUAGCAACAGUGACAACGAAGCUGAAAUGAUUGAUAAAGUUGCCUCAGAUGUCACGGCUGUGUUGGGUUUCACACCAUCAAAAGACUUUGAUGACUUUGUUGGCGUAGGAGCUCAAAUCACGGCGAUAAAAUCAAAGUUGAUCCUACAAUUAGAACAAGUUCAGAUGAUUGUGCUUGUGGGUCCUGCUGGGAUUGGCAAGACGACCACUGCCAGAGUUUUAUACAACCAACUCUAUCCAAAGUUUCAGUUCAGCACGUUUUUGGAGAAUAUCAGAGGAAAUUACGAGAAGCCUUGUGGCAACGACUAUAAUUUGAAGCUGAGUUUGCAGAAAAAUUUGUUGGCUGAAACAUUAAACCAAAAGGAUAUUGAGGUUCGACACUUAGGAGUGGCUCAACAAAGGCUGAGUGACAAAAAAGUGUUGGUUGUUCUUGAUGAAGUGGAUAGCUGGUGGCAACUCGAGGCAACUGCAUACCAGCGCGGAUGGUUUGGUCCCGGAAGUAUUAUUAUCAUAACAACCGAAGAUAGAAAACUUCUCAAGCAACUCAGACUAGGGAUCAAUCAUAUCUACAAGAUGAAAUAUCCUACUGAAGAUGAGUCUUUUCAGAUCUUAUGCAAAUAUGCUUUCGGGCAAAAUAUUCCAGAUCAUGGUUUUGAAGAGCUUGCUUGGGAAGUUACUUGGCUUGCUGGUGAUCUUCCUCUAGCCCUGAGAGUCAUGGGAUCGUAUCUACGAGGAAUGUCCAGGGACGAGUGGAUAGAGGCACUACCAAGGCUCAGGUCUAGCCUUGAUAGAGAAAUUGAAUCAACUCUAAGAUUUAGCUACGACGGGUUAAGUGAUAAAGAUCAAGCUCUUUUCCUGCAUAUUGCAUGUUUCUUUGUUGGUUUCAAUGUUGAUAGUGUUAAGAGGUGUCUUGCAAACUGUGGUCUGGACGUCAACCAUGGGCUUCAAGUCUUAGCUGAUAAAUCUCUUAUAUCUAUAGAAGAAGGAUACAUAAUAAUGCAUAGAUUACUGAAAACUUUUGGUAAGAAAAUUGUCAAGAAAGAGUCCUUGGAGGAGCCUGGAAAGCGACAGUUCUUGUGGAAUACCAAGGAAAUUUCUGAAGUACUUGAAGAAAGUACUGGUACUGGAAAAGUCAUAGGCAUAUAUUUCGAUUGCGGUGAGAACUUCCAAAUAAGUAAAAGCCCUUUCGAUGGGAUGAAUAAUCUCCAGUUUCUACGAGUCUACAAUGGUCCCUUGUGCAUGCCCGAGGGCCUCAAUUGUCUUCCCGACAAACUCAGACUUAUAUAUUGGCCCAGAUGUCCAUUGAGGUUUUGGCCUUCCAAGUUCUCUUUCAAGUUUCUUGUCGAACUAGACAUGUGUGAUAGCAAAUUUGAGAAGCUUUGGGAGGGAAUACAACCUCUCCAAUGCCUCAAGCUGAUGGAUUUGAAAUCCUCUAAGCAUCUGAAAGAGAUUCCAGAUCUCUCAAAAGCAACGAGUCUCGAGAAAUUAGAUCUCAGUGACUGCAGAAGUUUGUUGGAGCUCACAGGCUCUAUUGGCAGUGCAGCUGAGCUUGGGCUACAUCUGAGGUAUAGUGCGAUAGAGGAAUUGCCAUCAUCAAUCAGCACCAAUCUAGGGGUAUUGGAUAUUACAGGGUGUAAAAACAUCAAAGACUUCCCAAAUGUUCCUGACAGUAUUGUCGAGUUGGAGUUGAGCGGUACUGGGAUAGAGGAGGUCCCUCCAUGGAUUGAGAAGCUAUUUCGUCUGCGUAAACUAAUUAUGAAUGGAUGCAAAAAUCUGAAAAGGAUAUCUCGAAACAUUUCUAAGUUGGAGAAUCUUGAGUUUCUUGCUCUGCGUACCGAUGCCCGAAGUAAGUAUGCUGAUCCUUUUAAGGAUGUGAUAAAUUGUGCGCCUAGCUUAUUUGAAGCAAUAAUCGAGUGGGGGUCUGAAUGGAAGCGCAGUUGGAUAUUACAUACAGACUUCGACGUACACUACAUUUUGCCGAUAUGUCUACCCAUGAAGGCUCUUACGUUUCCAAUAUCAUUAUGUUUGCGCGGUAAUGGUUUCAAGACUAUUCCAGAUUGCAUCAGCCAUCUGUCCGGAUUAAGUAAGCUUGACGUCACAGGAUGCAGCCAGCUCUUAGCACUUCCACCGCUUCCAGGUUCCCUUCUAUCUCUAGAUGCACAAGGUUGUGAAUUCUUGGAGAGAAUAAACUCUUCUUUUCAAAAUCCAAAGACUUGCCUAAACUUUGCUUACUGCUUCAACCUCGAUCAAAAAGCGAGAAAGCUUAUCCAGACAUCAGCUUGCAAACAUGCGGUCUUACCGGGUCAAGAAGUGCCUACACACUUCACUCACCGAGCUACUUCAGGUUCCUUAACGAUCAGUUUGAUUCCAAGACCUUUUCCUUCAUCCUGUAGAUUCAAAGCUUGCAUCUUGCUGUCACAAAGCACUAUUGGUCCCAAGGAUUUCGCUUCCGUAGAUGUUAAUGAUUCAUUCGUGGGUGUCACUUGUCGUGUCAGGGGUAAACAGAAUGGCCUCACAGUUGGAUCAACCCAUGUCCAUAUGCCAGAUCUAUAUGGACAUAGAGAUCAUCUGUAUGUAUUUGAAGAUUCUUUCUCUCUAAACCAGGAUUGCCCUGAAGCCGAAGAAACCACUUUCAGCGAGCUUUCUUUUGAGCUCAGAUUCCAUGAUAAAGCCUGGAAGGUGAAAGCCUGCGGUGUACUACUUUCACAGGAGGUUCCUCAAUGGGUUGAGAAUAUAUUUCAUCUGCGUAAUGUAGUUACGUUUGGAUGCGAGGAGCUGAAACAAACAUUUCUAAGUUGAGAAUCCUAAGCUUCUUGUUCUGUGUACUGGUUUCUGUGGUAUGUCCGGUGAGUAUGUUGAAUACAAUGAUGCUUCAGUAAUCGAGUGGGGGGCCUGACUUGAAGCAACGUUGGAGAUUAUUAUCAGACUUCAGCGUUGACAACAUUUUUCCGAUUUGUCUACCUGACAAGGCUCAUACAUCUUCAAUAUCAUUACGUUUUCGCGGUAAUGUUUUGGUGACUAUUCCAGACUGCAUUGGACAACUCUUCGGACUAAGUAAGCUUGACAUCAAAGAAUGCAGCGAGCUCGUAGCACUUCCAAAGCUUCCAGGCAAUAUUAAUCUCGAGGAUGAUAAUGAUGACGAUGAUGAAGAGGGUGAAACUUCAUUGAGGCGUUUGUCUUGUCGAAUCAGCUGUAAACAGAAGUCUAUGGUGAUUAUGAUAUUUACCCACAUAACGAUCAUUAUAAGAAACAAGAUACCAUGUGGUUAUCUUGUCGCGUCAACUGCAAACAGAAGGGUCUCACUACUCCAUAGGGAUCAAGUGUGCAUCUAUUACCAACUCCACAUCUAUUCACAGACCAUAUCUAUGUAUUUGAAGCUUCUUUCUCUCUAGACGUGUGACCCAAUCCUGAAGCAGAAAGCGAACUUGUCUUUGGCUUCAAGGUUCACGAUUACUUUUGGGUGAUAAAAGAGUGUGGUCUUCAACUUUUGGAGCUCUCUCAUGUUCAUAAAGAAGAUCAGUGGCGGACAGAGCUAACGACAAACAGGUCACGUGGCCCAAAUAAAUUUUGAUUUUCUCUUAAGUAAUCAAUUCAAAAUUUUAAUAUUUAAGACUGUUAUUUCAUUGUUCUGAGAUGUAUGGCAUUUGCAUAGUUGGAUUAAUCGUUAGGUUUAUGAGAAAGUUGCGGCUUGUUGUUGAGCAUAGUUAAGUUGUAUAACUGAUCAAACAUCUGGAAAACUGGUGAUCUAUCUGUUUGUAGCUUUAGUGUAGGCUUUGCUGUGGAGUAGAGUAGCUUGUGAUCUCAGACUCUAUGAUGUAGCUUUACAUGAUUAC
Molecule: RNA transcript, 4489 nt
Organism: Brassica oleracea var. oleracea
Lineage: Eukaryota; Viridiplantae; Streptophyta; Magnoliopsida; Brassicales; Brassicaceae
Gene name: disease resistance protein TAO1-like
Exons: 5
Source: RefSeq, a predicted model, not a curated record